CCCCAUCCCAGGGCUCUGGGGAUGACUCGGCCCUGAAGAGGAGGGGCCGAGGCUGCUGGUCCCCACGUGUCAUGGUCACAGCUGGGGAGCUUCGGCUUGAGGACUCCCGUCCAACCCCUUCUUGACUAUGGGGCCCUAGGGCUUUUGGGAAGCUCUAGGUGGCCUGGAAGGGUGGCCCAGACUCUGGGGCCCCCAGAACCCCCAUGCGCUUCCUGGGUCUGUGGACACACGGAAGCCACUCUGCCCCUCAGUGCUGGCAAAGGAUCCCCUGCUCCAUUCAACUCUCAGGUGCUGGCCCUGGGCCAGUCCCUGGGGCUCGUGCUCCAGGAGGAAUCAGAGCUGGAGAAGGAGGGGCUAGGCCAGCCUCCAGCCCCGGGGCCAGGGAGCUUCUGCCCCCCACGCAGCCCCAAGUCCUUUGAGCUCUCAGCUUUAGCUGUGGGUCUGGGGUGGGGGGCCGCCUCGUCACUCGCCAAGGUUCAGAAUAGCAGAGCUCCCCAGUGACCACUCCCUUCUUACCCUGCCAGCUUGUCCACCAUUGAUGACACCAACCAGCAUUUGGCCAAGCGGGAGCAUCCCCUCCAGAAAUCCCCUCUGGGCCAGGACAGAAGUUCCUGGAAGGCCCUUUCCAUUAGCACAGACAUGCCGGGCAUCGUUCCAGGAGGCUCUGAGACCUGAGCUUUGCAAAGGGGAUGAGCAAUAAAAAUGACACCAGCGCCCUUCACAGAGGGCUCGCCCUGUGGGGCCUGUAGCCAGGUGCUCGCUGUCCAUCCCCACGUCCACUUCUCCCAGCUUCCCUGUGAGGGAGGUGCAGCAGGAGGAAAUGAGGGCGACGUGGCCUGCGUGUGGUCACACGGCUCGGGAGCUGCAGAGCUGGAAUGCAAGGCUGGGCUGUCACCAGAGUUCCUGUUAGUGGUGUGUCUGGGAAAGGAAGGGCUGGUAGGGAUAAGGGUCAGUGGCUGUGGGUCCACAGGGAGGACGAGGCAGGGGGUGUUGGGGCCCCUGCAAGCUGGCAUGGCCAGUCUCUCCUGUGGCCCCUGUGAGAAGCCAAGGGAACGCAGCUGCUCAGCCUGGCACCUCCCCACCCCACGUCACUCUUCCGGGCAGAGCCGGGCCAGAGCAGGAGGUAAACAUGGAUGCCACCCAAGGGAGGACUUUCUAACUGUCCGACUCUGCAGGAAAUGAGCCCCCUGUCCCAGGAGGGGUGCAAGCCCGGGUGGAGUGGGGUUACUCAGGAGCUCAGGAUUCUGUGGAUUCUCUAACCUGGUUUUAGAGGUGGCUCCUUCCUCCUCCGCCCUGAGGGGUCCUCAGCCUGGACUGUCUCGUGAGUGCCACCCAUUGGGAUGUUGCUAUUUUCAUUUGAAUCACCAGGAGGGGCUGCCUUGCUUUCCAGAUGAGGUUUGAAGGGAUUUAGCCACUGGCCCAUGGUCACCCAGGCAGCGUGGAACAGAACCCAGAGGGUACCCAGGAGAGCCAGGGGAGGGAGGAGCCAGGUGCAGGGGUCGGCCUGGCCUGGGUGCAAAUCCAGCACUAGCUUCUCUGUUGGGUGACCUUGGGCAAGUCAAUUCCCCUCUCUGAGCCUCUACUCUCUUCUGCAAAACAGGGGGGAAGUCCGCUCACCUCUCUGGGAAUUCAGUGGGACUUGCAGUGCACAGGACCUCAGACAGAAACCAGGGAGCUGAACACGACACCUCCCUUCCCCACACUUCCGCUCCUGCACAGCAGCACAGCCCACCGCCUCCACCUCCUGAGCCCCCCAUGCCCUCCACCCCCACGCUCAGAUGAGCCUCCCCACUGGGGCCCCGCUCCAAUCUGACCAUGUCGCUUCCCGGCUCCAAACCCUGCGAUGGCCCCAUCUCACGCGAGUAACCUCCAGACCCUUGUCACGAUCUGCAGGCCCCACCUGCCUGGCUGACCUCCUCUCCUCCGUGGUUCCCCCAGCCCUGCUGCUCCUUGGACGCUGGUCCCACUCCCACGGCAAGGCCUUCACCUCGGCUGUGCCCCUGCCUGGAACUCCCGUCCCCCAAACAUUCACCCACUGGCUCCUCUAUCCUGCAGGUCUCAGCUCAGAUGUCACCUCCUCAGGGAGGCCUUCCCUGAUCACGUGUCCUAAGUAACUCCCUGUCACCUCCUGCCCCAUCGAUUGUCUUCCCCAGCUCCUGCCUGACCUGCUCUUAGCACUUAGUGCUCUAUCAGACACUGUUUGCUUAUUCUUGCUAUUCUCCCUUGUUUGCAUGUGUGAGGUCCCCGAGGGCAGGCACCGUGUUGGUUUUAUCCACUGCUGUGUCCCCAGAGCCUGGCACCGAGUCUGGCACACAGUAGGUGCUCCACCGACACAAGCCAGAUGAGCGAACAGCACACAGGAGGGGUGCCAAUGCCCUAAGUUGCCCGGUCAGGCACAGCCCAGGCUCGGACUCUCGGCAUCAGGGAAAAACAAAGGUGUUUAUUUGCAACAGACGCUGAUAUAGCACAAGGCCCGGUAAGGAUGGGCAUGGGUGGAGCCGCCUGGCCGCCCCCAAGUCCCUGAGUCUGGAGUCGGGGUCCCACCAGCGGCCUUCCCUGGAGAGCACGGUGCUCACCCACAAGUGGGCAAGAGGGAGACAAGUGUUGGAAAGCGGGAGGCCCGGGUCCAGCCAAGUCCAUCUCUGGGCCUCAGUUUCCCCAUCUGCACAAUGGAUGCCCACCUCCUGCCCUUCAGCCUCCUCUGACUGGAAGGGCAGGAAAGGCCUUUGGAGAGCGGAGCACCAUCGUUUCUCCUCCAGGAGGACCGAGGCCCUGCAGCAGGGCGCUGGGAGAAGAGCCCCGAGCUCCCAGGGGGGCAGGCCAGGGGUCAGAGAGCGCCCAGGCCAUGGGACGACUCAGACAAUCUUCAUGGUGACGCCAGCAGCUCCAUACUCAGGACAUUGGGCAGAGGGAUCCCCAGCAGCAGGCACUGGGGGCCCAGCCACCGCGCCUGGCUCCUGACGGCUUGUCCCCACAAGGGCCCGUUCCCUUAACCAUCUCUCCCACUGCAUCUCUUCCUGGGACCACCGCCCCCGUGCCCGUUUGAUCUCACCUGCCUUGUCAACACCCUCUGUCCCUGAGCCAGUGGAGAAAGGUGGGGUGCUACCCAGGCCUGUGUCUUCUCUAGCUGGGGGAUGGGGAGCUUAACGGGGAGGGGCCACAAGGACCCCCAGGCUCCAGAGUAAAACCAGCUCUGCUGGUUGAGAAAGAAACACCAAGCCCAUUAGUCCUGCCAGAAGGUAGAAAGAGCACAGUGACGGAGACAGAAACUGAGACGCCGCCCCACCGCUGCGUCCGAGGGAGCCGCGACACCCCACCGACCCCCAGACUUUCCAGGCACACGGCCACGCCCAUGAGAGGGACAGGUGACAAUCUCUGCAGAGACCUGGGGGCAGGAGAAGGGAUAUUCGAGAACUGACUUCAGGGUGGAGUCGGCCUCUCAAAGUCUGGGCAGCAUGGAUGGCUGAGUCUAACCUCAAGUGUCCACUGGGAUCGACUGGAGGUGGCUGCCUGGGAUAGGAUUCUGGAGCCGCGUCCAGGCUCAGGAAGACAGCGCGUGAUCCAUUAGCGAUGUGUGCCCAGAGCAAGAGGUGGGAGGGGGGUGGUACACAGGCAUCUAUUUGCCCUCCUUUCACCCGGGAACAAAUAAAAUUUAAAGGGCCCUGUCGAUUUUAAUAUUCCUCAGUUCUGUGUGUUAAGAAGUAGUGACUAG
This is a long non-coding RNA of Equus caballus (horse), 3712 nucleotides long. Lineage: Eukaryota; Metazoa; Chordata; Mammalia; Perissodactyla; Equidae. The record is from Ensembl.